UUUGCCCUUGGCAUGUCAUACCACUUGCCUCUGGUGCAGCAUGUGCAGUUCAUCUUCGACCUCAUGGAAUAUUCACUCAGCAUCAGUGGCCUCAUCGACUUUGCCAUUCAGCUGCUGAAUGAACUGAGUGUAGUUGAGGCUGAGCUGCUUCUCAAAUCCUCGGAUCUGGUGGGCAGCUACACUACUAGCCUGUGCCUGUGCAUCGUGGCUGUCCUGCGGCACUAUCAUGCCUGCCUCAUCCUCAACCAGGACCAGAUGGCACAGGUCUUUGAGGGGCUGUGUGGCGUCGUGAAGCAUGGGAUGAACCGGUCCGAUGGCUCCUCUGCAGAGCGCUGUAUCCUUGCUUAUCUCUAUGAUCUGUACACCUCUUGUAGCCAUUUAAAGAACAAAUUUGGGGAGCUCUUCAGGUAAGAGAGGUGGAAGGUAAGGGGUAGCGAGUGGGACCUACUCCCUUCUUCCCAUGACCACCCAACUCAGGAGGAGAGGAUGGCCCGGGACCCUGCUGCCUGUCUAGGGUCAUUUGUGGACUGUGUCCUCCACAUACUGUUGUGUUACCAAGAGUGGGCCCUCUUCCUCAGCAGGCUUGCUCCCCGCCUAUAUCUGUGGGGCCCACCCUCUUCCCCCUUUUCCU
RNAcentral lists this small RNA (631 nucleotides) under Pan troglodytes (chimpanzee). Its description in RNAcentral is "processed transcript". The record is from RNAcentral. Lineage: Eukaryota; Metazoa; Chordata; Mammalia; Primates; Hominidae.